AUUGGGGACUCCCCUUUGAGGAUUGCUGCCUUUCUUAUAAUUUUAUUGUGGCAAUUUAGCGCUGUUUUUUUUCUCUUUUUCCAAUUUUGUAUGGAGUAUGUUUGUGUGAAUGUAGGGGUGUGUUUGUAUGUGGAGAUGGCAUUUAAAUGCAAGUAUGCAUUUAUGUGUAGUGUUGGUUUAUGAAUACACUGGCGUGUUUAUAUAUAAUUUUGUUGUUUAAAAAAAGAGGUGU
Pelobates cultripes (western spadefoot toad) is the source of this 232-nucleotide non-coding RNA. NCBI's taxonomy places the organism in Eukaryota, Metazoa, Chordata, Amphibia, Anura, Pelobatidae. The record is from the annotation of a GenBank genome assembly.